GAGGAAGACUUACUAGAGCAUCACUCCAUCCAAACAUCAAACAUCCAGCCAUUCUUCCAAAGGGACAUCACGUAUCACAUCUACUCAUAAAGCACUUCCACGAGAAGAUUCGUCAUCAGGGAAGAGGGAUGACAGUCAAUGAAAUACGCGCUAAUGGUAUUUGGAUCAUUAGCUGCAGUCGUGAAGUGUCAUCAUUUAUAUACAAGUGUGUCAAGUGCAGAAAAUACAGACAAAACUCUCAGGAGCAGAAGAUGUCCGACCUGCCGUCAGAGAGAAUGGAAGCUACUCCUCCUUUUUCAUACAGCGGAAUGGAUUGCUUUGGACCGUUCUAUGUAAAGGAAGGAAGGAAGGAGAUGAAAAGGUACGGACUUCUGUUUACAUGCAUGUGCUCCAGAGCUAUUCAUAUCGAAGUCCUGGACGAUCUCAGUACGGAUUGCUUCCUCAAUGCACUACGUUGCUUCAUUUCUAUAAGAGGCCAUGUCAGUCAACUCCAUUGUGAUCAAGGCACUAACUUCAUUGGUGCAAAGAAUGAGUUCCUGAGCUUAACGCAAGCCUCCAAAGAGAAGGCAAAAGAGUUGGGUAUAAGUUUCAUCUUUAACCCACCUGCUUCCAGUCACAUGGGAGGUGUCUGGGAGAGGCAGAUUCGAACAAUAAGAAAUGUUUUGAGUUCUAUUCUUGAUCAGUCAGCUUCAAGACUGGAUACAUCAUCAAUGAGAACAUUCAUGUAUGAGACUAUGUCUAUCGUGAAUAGUCGACCACUAACUGUGGAGUGCCUCAACGACCCUGUUGGACCAGAGCCGCUGACACCAAAUCACAUCUUGACAAUGAAAUCCACAAUAAUCUCACCACCACCUGGAGAAUUUGUGAAAGAGGAUCUCUACUUGCAGAAAAGAUGGAAAAGAGUGCAGUAUCUGGCAAAUGUAUUCUGGACCAGAUGGAGAAAGGAAUAUUUGCUAAAUCUGCAACAGAGAAGAAAGUGGAAGACGAACAGAAGAAAUGCAAGAGUAAAUGACAUCGUUCUACUACAAGAUGAGUGUGUUCCAAGAAACCAGUGGAAGCUCGCCAGAGUCAUUGAAGUCACACCAGGAGCUGACGGCAACGUCAGAAAGGUCAAGCUUCUUCUUGGUGAUUCAACUGAAGAGAAAGGAGGAACGUGUAACACCAGGACUGUUUUGGAAAGACCAAUCCAUAAGACUAUUCUGUUAGUUGAGGCUGAGUAGUGUUUGUUCAUGUUUAUUUACAAUGUUAGCUUAUGUUUGGGAUCACACAUACUGCUAGUAGUGUGAUGGUGGGAGUGUAACGGUUGAUAAGUGCAGUUCACUAUUUCGUCAGCAGAGGGCGCUAGUGUGCUGUUAAUAAUUAUUUUCGUUUAUUUUUUGUACGUUUAUAUAUUUAUUUUUCUAGUAUUUAAAAG
This 1414-nucleotide long non-coding RNA is filed under the name Oryzias javanicus (javanese ricefish). Its description in RNAcentral is "lncRNA (ENSOJAG00000019963.1)". The record is from RNAcentral. Lineage: Eukaryota; Metazoa; Chordata; Actinopteri; Beloniformes; Adrianichthyidae.